Molecule: long non-coding RNA, 2909 nt
Organism: Pleuronectes platessa (European plaice)
Lineage: Eukaryota; Metazoa; Chordata; Actinopteri; Pleuronectiformes; Pleuronectidae
Exons: 4
Source: RefSeq, a predicted model, not a curated record
UAGUGAACCACAGAGCAGGUCUAUGGCCUGUGCUGCUCCAUCGCGUCUAGUGAUCACCGGAAUGAGACUUUUACAGACCAUGCUGUGUUUUGCUUUGUGUGCUAGCCUGGCUGGGCUAGCCUAACCUAGCCCCGCUGAACGCACUUGGCCACCUACUUAUCACCAAAGCUAGCGAUGCUUAGCAUUCAUUUCUCCAUCUUCAGUAGAUCAAUGGACGGGUUUGACUCACCUCUCUGUACGUAUGAAGACUGGCCUCACACGGGUCGCCUCGCUACAUAAAUGGUUAACAGAGAUGUUGAAAGACUGGUCGUGGACGUGCAGACAGAUGGGGGUGUUCGCUCUCCUCGGAGCCGGUGCUGAUGCUCUCUGCAGCGCCACGGCUAGCUAGCUAACCACGCUAGCUAGUUAGCUGACACAUCUGCUUUGCUGCUAGCUAGCUGAAGAGACAGAAGGCGGCGCAGAGCGGUGCUCAUGCCACGAGAAACAGCGAGUCCGAUAGUGGAGACAGCCGCAGCACCACCCGACACUCGAUGCCCUCUGAAUACGCCUGGUGCUUGGUCAGGCCAGGCUGCUAGCUAACACUAUCUAUCACUAGUGAGCCAACUCUCAAUCCAAAAUGGCGACGACAAAAAGACGGAAGUCGUAGCAGAGAGCCGUGAGCACAGGAUGAAUGGCCAAAAUGGUUCCAUCACUUCCAGUACAACAGUGCGAGGUCCAGUCAUCACCAGCCUGGUCAUGGUCCUGUAGUCCAGGUCGAGAACACACUGUCCGUUCACCUGGCACACAAACUGCUGCACCUACACACGAUUACAUCAGCAGCUGCUGCUGGACUUCCAGGGUCAACGGCCUGCACAUAACAGGGAGCCCAGCCUCUGACGACAAAACCCCAGCCCAGGGGGUCUCCUAUCACCUGUGAUCAUGGUGGCAUGACGAGUCUUCCCACAGGAGUGGCGGGAGCAUUGCUGUCCCACACCUUCCACGUCUCCUCACCUUACUCGAUGAUAUGGGCCUUAUCACUGAAUCUGCCCGGCCGGCUAGUGAGUCCCUGACACUAAAGUGGGAGCUCUCCAAAACGGACGACAUGCAGAUCUCCUCCUCUGUGAAGAGGCCCCGUUUAUAGCUAAACGAUUAUUUCAGAUAAACUUAAGCAUAAUUAAAUCAUCUCUUUGACUGUUUCAAUGAACUCUCUCUGACUGCAAAAUAUGUAAAUAUCCUCUUGUACUCCACUCUGGAUUAAAUCAUCAUUCCAUUUAGCCGCAAGCUGUGGGAGGGAGGAAAGGAGUGAUGCAUUCAGAUCCACAAGUCGGGGAAACUGUGAAACUAUUUUAAGUAAAACACGAGUCCUCCGCCAAUAUUUAGUGCCAAUAUGAGGUCAGAAUGUAAAACAUUUCAUUCACUUUUACUUGAAGAAGACUCAGAAAUGUUUCACAGAAACACUGACAGCAUCAAAGAGGUGACGCCUUCACUCCAUAGUGAGCCACAUUACAAAGAGAGGUUGACCUUGCCUUUGGCCUCUUGGCUGUCUGACAAAGCAAUCCCCAUGCUCUAGUGCAGUACACGGCUGUCCUCUAAAUGAAAGUAGCUGAGAGGCGAAGGGCAAAGAGGCCUAUGGAAUAUCAAUGUGCGAUGCUCUCAAUUAAGAUUAAAGCUUAGAAUGGAAUCCUAUGGAGCCGCUUCCCUAAGAAAUGCUUGACAUUUUACCCUUGCUGACUCUGGAUAAAAAAAGUGUCCUGCGCCACCAGUACCACCACCACCACCACCGCUAACUAGCUGCCCCUCCUCAGCAAGCCCUCCUUUCCCUGAAUUCAUUCUGUAGAUAUUGACUUAGGCUACAGUCACACUUCUAAGAAAUAAGUGAAAUGGAUCAUCUUACUGCCGGUGGAUGAUAAGAAUACAGAAAUGUGAAAAAGCGUCUGGAUCAGCAAAAUGACAAACUAGGGGGGGAAAUAUGAGGCAGUUAUGAUAAACCCUCAGAGACAAAUUCCCUAUGCCAGACAGAGGAAUGAGAAGCUAGAGAGGGAAGAGAAGAGAGGGAAGAGAAGAGAGAAAAUAUACAUCUGCAACAUCCCCAUUUAAAUGUAUGUUUAAGAGAGAGCCUCAUUAAUUUACAAUGCGUGCGUCCUCUACCAAAAACACAGACACAGGGCUUUUAAACACCUGCAUUAGAUUUCUCUUCUCUCUCUUUACUAACCCUUCUUUGUUUUUAAGAAAAUCUACCAAUAUGAUCUGAUCUCAUAUGGAUUUAUUAUAGAGGAGAAUCCCUCAUUUUAAGAAUCUAUUUUACAUUCUGUACGCUCAGCAUAUACAUCACAGCUUUUAUUAACAUAUUUUUUAAGCAAUAUACAACCCCUCCUUAUAAAACAGUCUAUUGCAGAUCUACGAUGUCUGUGCUUUAUUCCCUUUAAUUAAAACAAUGUUUGAGAUUUAUUUAGCAUUUUCUUAAGAUUAGACAGAUGUUGUCUCUGAGCCCACUGCUUCGGUUUGAAUAUAAAACACGAGUCUUUGUUUACCCUGAAUGUGCUGCACAUUCUCUGGUGAUGUACACAACAUGAUGUCAGUGGUUUGCAUCUGAUCUCGUAGAUUAAUACUGAUUAUGAGGAUGUGUGUGUCUGCCACCGUAGCAUCUAAGCAGCUGCAAGCGUUUCUAUUUGUGUUGCUGGUAAAUAUAAUAUAGGACUGUUACAUUUAAGAUGAUGAAUUAGAGAGGAAUACGUAUCUGCUCACUUUGUAGAACGUAACAUGUAACUCCAGGUGGAGCGAAGCUAAAAUGUGUAAGGCCGAUGUUAUAGUUUAGAGCAGGGGCUGAUUAUGAAUACGAUGUAGAAAAUAAGAUCAAAAUGGAGCCUAUCGUGUAAACUCCACCCUUGAUAAACAGAAUUCCACAUCACGCUCCAACUCUGCAGUUAACU